RNAcentral lists this ribosomal RNA (329 nucleotides) under uncultured eukaryote. Its description in RNAcentral is "partial 18S ribosomal RNA". It matches the Rfam family "Eukaryotic small subunit ribosomal RNA", at positions 1470 to 1796 of the family's 1831-position model. The record is from RNAcentral.
CCCUUAGAUGUUCUGGGCUGCACGCGCGCUACACUGAUGCGUUCAACGAGUUUAUGACCUUGCCCGAUAGGGUUGGGUAAUCUUUUUAAAUCGCAUCGUGAUGGGGAUAGAUUAUUGCAAUUAUUAAUCUUCAACGAGGAAUUCCUAGUAAGCGCGAGUCAUCAGCUCGUGCUGAUUACGUCCCUGCCCUUUGUACACACCGCCCGUCGCUCCUACCGAUUGAAUGGUCCGGUGAAGCGUUCGGACCGUGGCCUUUGGACGGUUCGCCGUCUGUUGGCUGCGGGAAGUUCGUUAAACCUUAUCAUUUAGAGGAAGGAGAAGUCGUAACA